UAUCGACAAGAUCUCUCAGUGG
This 22-nucleotide microRNA is filed under the name Ciona intestinalis (vase tunicate). RNAcentral's name for it is "cin-miR-4065-3p". Lineage: Eukaryota; Metazoa; Chordata; Ascidiacea; Phlebobranchia; Cionidae. The record is from miRBase by way of RNAcentral.